This 468-nucleotide ribosomal RNA is filed under the name uncultured bacterium. RNAcentral's name for it is "partial 16S ribosomal RNA". It matches the Rfam family "Bacterial small subunit ribosomal RNA", at positions 28 to 507 of the family's 1533-position model. The record is from RNAcentral.
GACGAACGCUGGCGGCGUGCUUAACACAUGCAAGUCGAACGGAAAGGCCCUGCUUUUGUGGGGUGCUCGAGUGGCGAACGGGUGAGUAACACGUGAGUAACCUGCCCUUGACUUUGGGAUAACUUCAGGAAACUGGGGCUAAUACCGGAUAGGAGCUCCUGCUGCAUGGUGGGGGUUGGAAAGUUUCGGCGGUUGGGGAUGGACUCGCGGCUUAUCAGCUUGUUGGUGGGGUACUGGCUUACCAAGGCUUUGACGUGUAGCCGGCCUGAGAGGGUGACCGGCCACAUUGGGACUGAGAUACGGCCCAGACUCCUACGGGAGGCAGCAGUGGGGAAUAUUGCACAAUGGGCGGAAGCCUGAUGCAGCAACGCCGCGUGCGGGAUGACGGCCUUCGGGUUGUAAACCGCUUUCGCCUGUGACGAAGCGUGAGUGACGGUAAUGGGUAAAGAAGCACCGGCUAACUACGUG